CCUACUGGAGGCAGCAGUGGGGAAUAUUGGGCAAUGGGCGCAAGCCUGACCCAGCAAUGCCGCGUGAAGGAAGAAGGCUUUCGGGUUGUAAACUUCUUUGACAGGGGAAGAGCAGAAGACGGUACCCUGAAAACAAGCCACGGCUAACUACGUGCCAGCAGCCGCGGUAAUACGUAGGUGGCAAGCGUUGUCCGGAUUUACUGGGUGUAAAGGGCGUGUAGCCGGGAAGGCAAGUCAGAUGUGAAAUCUGGAGGCUCAACCUCCAAAUUGCAUUUGAAACUGUUUUUCUUGAGUACCGGAGAGGUCAUCGGAAUUCCUUGUGUAGCGGUGAAAUGCGUAGAUAUAAGGAAGAACACCAGUGGCGAAGGCGGAUGACUGGACGGCAACUGACGGUGAGGCGCGAAAGCGUGGGGAGCAAACAGGAUUAGAUACCCCAGUAGUC
RNAcentral lists this ribosomal RNA (442 nucleotides) under uncultured bacterium. Its description in RNAcentral is "partial 16S ribosomal RNA". It matches the Rfam family "Bacterial small subunit ribosomal RNA", at positions 338 to 795 of the family's 1533-position model. The record is from RNAcentral.